UUGGGAGCUCUCCCAUAUGGUCGACCUGCAGGCGGCCGCGAAUUCACUAGUGAUUAGAGUUUGAUCAUGGCUCAGAUUGAACGCUGGCGGCAUGCUUUACACAUGCAAGUCGAACGGCAGCACGGGGGCAACCCUGGUGGCGAGUGGCGAACGGGUGAGUAAUAUAUCGGAACGUACCCAGGAGUGGGGGAUAACGUAGCGAAAGUUACGCUAAUACCGCAUACGACCUAAGGGUGAAAGUGGGGGAUCGCAAGACCUCAUGCUCAUGGAGCGGCCGAUAUCUGAUUAGCUAGUUGGUGGGGUAAAGGCUCACCGAGGCAACGAUCAGUAGCUGGUCUGAGAGGACGACCAGCCACACUGGAACUGAGACACGGUCCAGACUCCUACGGGAGGCAGCAGUGGGGAAUUUUGGACAAUGGGGGCAACCCUGAUCCAGCAAUGCCGCGUGAGUGAUGAAGGCCUUAGGGUUGUAAAGCUCUUUUGUCAGGGAAGAAACGGUGAGUUCUAAUACAACUUGCUAAUGACGGUACCUGAAGAAUAAGCCCCGGCUAACUACGUGCCAGCAGCCGCGGUAAUACGAAUCGAAUUCCCGCGGCCGCCAUGGCG
This 606-nucleotide ribosomal RNA is filed under the name uncultured beta proteobacterium. RNAcentral's name for it is "bacterial SSU rRNA". It matches the Rfam family "Bacterial small subunit ribosomal RNA", at positions 1 to 560 of the family's 1533-position model. The record is from RNAcentral. Lineage: Bacteria; Pseudomonadati; Pseudomonadota; Betaproteobacteria.